UGGGGAAGUAUUGCACAAUGGGGGAAACCCGUGAUGCAGCAACGCCGCGUGAAGGAAGACGGUUUUCGGAUUGUAAACUUCUGUUCUUAGUGAAGAAGAAUGACGGUAGCUAAGGAGCAAGCCACGGCUAACUACGUGCC
Molecule: ribosomal RNA, 140 nt
Filed under: uncultured bacterium
Lineage: Bacteria
Description: partial 16S ribosomal RNA
Rfam family: Bacterial small subunit ribosomal RNA
Source: RNAcentral